GGGAAGGGACCCUGGUGACCUCGCCUCCCAGCCCUCACCCCCGUCACCCCUUUCUUCUCUUUCCUGGAGGACUUUGGACCAUGGAGAUUCUGCAGUUGUUGCUCUAGGAGCUGAAACCAGUGGGUAGAUGUCGUUCUGAAACGCAGCACCCUUUUAGCUCUCACCACUGCUGUUUCCCAAGUUGUCACAGCUGAAGCGCACUGAUUGGAAGUUGCUUUGUACUGACUGAGUU
Molecule: long non-coding RNA, 232 nt
Filed under: Homo sapiens (human)
Lineage: Eukaryota; Metazoa; Chordata; Mammalia; Primates; Hominidae
Description: HSALNT0126908
Source: RNAcentral